RNAcentral lists this unclassified non-coding RNA (378 nucleotides) under uncultured Oligoflexales bacterium. RNAcentral describes it as "contains 16S-23S intergenic spacer region". Lineage: Bacteria; Pseudomonadati; Bdellovibrionota; Oligoflexia; Oligoflexales. The record is from RNAcentral.
UCCGGCUUAACGCCGGCGGUCUCCAUAGAGUGCCCAACUAAAUGAUGGCAACUAGGGAUAGGGGUUGCGCUCGUUAAGGGACUUAACCCGACAUCUCACGAUACGAGCUGACGACAGCCAUGCAGCACCUGAACCGCAAGUGUAUUGCUACAAAGAUGCAUCUCUGCACCGGUCUUGCGUUGUCUAACCCAGGUAAGGUUCUUCGCGUUGCAUCGAAUUAAACCACAUGCUCCACCGCUUGUGCGGGCCCCCGUCAAUUCCUUUGAGUUUUAAUCUUGCGACCGUACUUCCCAGGCGGGGUACUUAAUGCGUUAGCUGCGGCACUGUAGGGGUCAAUUCCCACAACACCUAGUACCCAUCGUUUACAGCGUGGACUAC